Monodelphis domestica (gray short-tailed opossum) is the source of this 10667-nucleotide non-coding RNA. NCBI's taxonomy places the organism in Eukaryota, Metazoa, Chordata, Mammalia, Didelphimorphia, Didelphidae. The record is from RefSeq and is a predicted model, not a curated record.
UAUUUAUAUCUUGUUAUUUCAUCCUAUACAGUUUGUCACUGUUCCCUCAAAGUGUAGUUCAUCUAGCUUCCAAGUAGAUAACAACACUUUUUAAGAUUACCAAUGACCUCUUGUCUUAUAGGGAUAUAUAUAUCAUUUUAACUCAUUGAGUCUCUUAAAACAGGGGUUUUUUGUUGUUGUUCUGUUUUGUUUUUCUUUUUCCCUCUUUUUUAAUUAUAUUUUGAUGAUACUCUUGAGUUCUGUGCUUGGACAUCAAAUUUUCUGUUCAGGUCUGGUCUUUUCUUUGAAAAUUCUUGGAAUUCUUCUAUUUUUUUGAAUGAUGAUACUUUCCCCUGUAAGAAUAUAGUCAGUUUUGCUGGGUAAUUGAUUCUUGGUUGUAGACCUAGUUCCCUUGCUGUCCAGAAUAUCAUAUUCCAUGCCUUUCGGUACUUCAGUGUAGAUGCAGCCAGAUCCUGCAUUAUCCUCACUGUGGUUCCAUGGUAUCUGAAUGACUUCUUCUUGGCAGCUUGUAAUAUACUGUCUUUGGUAUGAUAGUUUUUGAAUUUGGCUAUAACAUUCCUGGGUGUUUUCAGGGAAGCAUUGUGGGUGAUCCUUAGCAAGCUCAGUUGCCCAGCAAAAUUCGUCAAACUGAUCCAGCUCUUUCAUGUCUACAUGACAGGGGAAGUCCUAUCUGGUGGAGAGACUUCCAAUCGCUUCAACAUCUCCAAUGGCGUGAAACAAGGCUGUGUCCUUGCUCCUAACUAUUCAACCUAUUUUUCACCCAAGUAUUACAACAUGCUGUGAUGUAUCUAGACCUGGGUGUCUACAUCAAAUACCAACUAAAUACCAAAGAACUUUGAAGAGACUAAAGGCUAUGUUUUAAGGCAUUUCAGACUCUCCAAUGAUUUAUAAAAAUCUCUAUUCUAUUGCAUUUUUUGUUUAAGGUUUAACUUGGUGAUUUUAAGUUCAUAUAUUACUGGAGUCAAUAUUAUUGUUAUACUGUUCAUUUAAUGUACUGAGUUUUGACUACUGUUAUAUUCUGUUGUUUUCCCCCUAUAACUGUGCUAAACAAAUAUUAUUGAAUAAGCCGAUAUGUGAAAAAAAGUUUUUUUUCUAUUUUUGCCUUUGCAAAUUGUCAUAUAGAGGAUAGAUAGACUUCAGCAGAACUGGUUAUAAUUGUAUAAGAACCUUUGGAAAAUUUAAUGUGCUAAAUAUCUCAACUGAUUUUAAGGGAUUUUUUAAACAUGAUUUUUGGAAUUUUUCUUAACAAUCUCUGGUCAUUUUUGCCUGCCCCUACCAUGAGGUAAGGCCCCUUCUAGUAGCUGAAGUGAAAUACAUUUUAUAACCCCCAAUCUUUCCGCAUUUCUAAAUAUGUGAAUGGAAGUAGGGGCAGUUAAUCUCAGGGAAUUUGUACCCCUAAAAAGCCUCCAAAAAAGGAGCACCUCUCAUUUAUACUCUUCAGCUCACUACUUUACUUCCACCAGAAUGAUAUAUAGAUUUCUUGAUUAUGUUCUUAACCCAAGAUGAGUUUUACUUUGUUUAAAAAUAUGUUUAUUACCAAGGUUGAAAGAUUGCUACUUUUGUAAAAACUUGUGACAAAUAUCCAUCAGUUCAUAGGUUUUAAAAUGCCAUACAGUAACUUAUGUGAAAUAGGAAAGUGUGUUUGUUUACUAUUGUAAUUAAUUGGGCUAUUGAGAAUUUUGGGGAUAUUGAUAUCUACAUACUUAUACUACUAUUCUUUAUUUUAAAAAAAUGUUACCUUGUUCAAUUCAUUUGCCUUAUACUCAAAGUGGAACAUGGCCAGAUAUAAAGAGGAAAUUGAUCUCAUUUUUGCUGAGAAAGCCUUGUAUUAUAUAUUUUCUUUUCUGACACCGUGUCAAUGAUUAUAAGCUACAUUUUUUAAUUUUUUUAAAACUCUUUUAUUUUUUUCAGUUUUUUUUAUUUUUUUCUCUCUUCUUUAUAUUUGAAGCACAUGUCACCAGUAUUAAGAUUUUCUUUAACCUUUUGAUUUUUCAGUACUAUAAGUUUAAGAUACAUUAGCUAAUGCAUGCCUUAAAAAGCUUGUGACUAUAAAAACAAUGCCACUAAUUAUUUAAAUAAAUGAUGUGACUUUGCUUAAUGAUUCUGUCUGAUUCCAGGAAAAGAGAUACACACGAGAGCCAUUGCAAAGGGCCAAAGAAAAGCCAAUCCAGGAUGGAUAGAUGCACUUCUAGGCCAAUACAAAGGUUUUUAACCUAGUGUGAUACUUGGGGGUGCGACACUUGACUCAUGUUAAGAUGUAGGCCUUCCUUGUGUCCACACUCACUCUGAAGAUACUCACAGACAAGUAUCCUCAAAACCUUGGCUCUGAUAAUCUGGUGCCCUUUUCUGCCUCUCAUAGUGUGGUACCUUUCUGUAGUCCUGGCUACUGACUGGGUAAAUGCAUCAUUGCUUAGAUCAUUUUGAUUGGGCCCUGAUUCAAGGAACUGUUAUAGAUUUAUUUUUCUUUUACGUAGAAUUUUUUCACAUAAGAUUUUGAUAAUCUAUAUUUUCACCCAGAAUUUUUUAUUUUUAAUUUGGAUUUUCUGAUAUCUUUUAAAUAUCUCUUACCAAUUGGUUCAUAUACCUGAUACCUCAACCAUGCAUCCCUAAGUGAUCCUGUUUUUUUUUUUUAAUCACCCUCUUAAUGGGGGGAAUGUAAAAAAAAUCAUUAUUUAAAUUGCAAAUUUUAAAUUCCUUUUGAGAAGAAUUUUAGGUAAGGAAAGAUGCUACCUCUCUGAAUCCAGAACUGAACUAUUGGAGAAAACACAAUGAAGAAGCCUCCAGACCACAAACUGCACAAAAUUGAACUUUGGGUGUGGUUGAUUGAACAUUUAUUUGUAUGUAUACUUUCAUGCCAAAGGGGACUGUCCCCUAACUAACUCGACUGCCCCCUCAUUGGCAAUGCAUCCAGCAAUUAUUGAUUUUGUUUUUUUUCUCUUAUCCUCAAAUUACUGUAAUGUUUAAGUUGAUUAUGUUUUCACGAUCCUUUUUGGGGAAACUUCUCUCCCCAAUGACAAUCAAAUGGGGGUAUGUAAAAAUAGACUCAAAUUCAGGACUCCUUUCCCUAGAAUCCUUUGCUCGACUUCCCCAGAGUGCUUUGUAAUCACACUGAAUUCUCGCCUUGUUGAGAAUACAAUUGAUUAUUUAAAGGAGUUCUCUGCCUACUGAGGGGUCUUUUGGACUUCCUUUUUGGAGCAGAGGUGGCUCUUUUCAUAAUGUAGGUGAGGUGUCUAGGCAAGAGGCCUAGACAUGUGUUUUCUUAUCCUGUAUUUUUUUUAAUCCUUAAUCUUUAAUAAACCUCAUAAAAUAUAAUACUCCUUGCAGAGAGAAACUAAUUUCUACCUGCCUCAAAUUCCUAAAUUUUAACUGUUACACUCCAGAGUCAUAGAGAAACCCAGAGGAAACACCAACUCCAGCUAUCAUCCUGCCUCCAGCCAGCACACAAGAAGUUUGCACAACAGCAUCUCCCAGUGCUACUGACACAACCACAGAGGGCAGCAGUGUCAAGGUGGGGACAGCCUCUGUUUCUGAUCGAGUACCUUCCACUUCCAGCCUCUUCCCAACAUCAGGGAGUUCCUACUUGAAGGUUUUCAAGCUCAACUUCACCACCAUCAACCUGUUCUACACAACAGACAUGGCUCCAGCAAAUUCAACUCCACUGAGGAUGUCCUGCAACCCCUUAUCAACUCCUUGUUUAGAAAAAGCAGCUUUGGCCCUCACUAUUUUGGAUGCAGGCUGACUUUGUUAAGGUGAGAGUCGUGGGAGCUGAUGGUUCAAAUAGUAGGAACUAGCACAUUCCCAUCUGACUUAGAUGGUGUCCAGGUUGGUUCUUCCUCCACUUCCCUGUUGUAAUUCCUUCUUUCCCAAACUGAGGUGGGUAAAAUACCCCAACCAAUAAGCAUUCAGAAAUAUUUUGGGCUCCUUAUAGCCUUUUUCAAUUGUAAAAAAAAACUCCUUUCCCCACAACUUUUCCAAAGACAAUGUUGCAACUGUUUUUUUUUCAUUUUCUUUAUAUUCCACAUACAAGGAAUACCUUAGGAAGAACCAAGUGGUGCUUAGUAAAGGACUACUUAGAAAAUAUCAACAUUACUUUUCUCUAGAAUCAGAGAAUUAUAGAUUGUAAGUUGGAAGGGACUUUCAAGGUCAUCUGGAUGACUUUCUUCAUUUACAGAUGAAAAAUGAAGACCCAAGGAGUGGGUGACUUUUCCAGUGACUUUUCUAGAGUCAAAGAUACUGUGAAAUCCAGAAUUUUAACACAGGCCCUUUGCCUUUAAAUCCAAUGAUCUUUCCACUACUCUAAAGAAAUUACUGAAAAUAAUCAGACCCCAUACACACUUCUAAACAUAGAUAUGAGUGAAUUCACCCAGCCCUGCCAAUUCCACUGUGUCUGAUGAGAGAGCUAGGCUUGCCAACAGGAAGACCUGAGUGCAAAUUCUCUCAACCUCAAUGAACUGAUGCAGAGUGAAAUGAGCAGAGCCAAGAGAACAUUGUAUACAGAAAGUAAACCAUUGUGCAACAAUUCAGAGUAAUAGAUUUUGCUACUAGUAGCAAUUCAAGAAUCCAGGACACUCUUGAAGGACUUGUGGGAAAGAAUGCUAACCACAUUGAGAAAAAGAACUAUGGAAGUCGAAAUGCAAAAGAAAAACAUGGAAAUUGGUAUCAAGUGAUAACAAUUUCUGCAUCAAGUGAUAACAAUUUGUACAAACCAGUGGAAUGGUUUGUAGGCUCUGGGAGGGGAGAUUGAAGAAGGGAGGGAAAGAAAAUGAAGCAUGGAAACAGUGAAAAAUAUUUUAAAAUAAAAAUUAAUUUAAAAAUUCUCUCUCAGACACUUACCAGUUGUAUGAUUCUCAGCAAGUCACAUAACUGCCUUUAGCCUCAAUUUCUUCAUCUUUAAAAUGGGAAGGUUAGUUCUGAUGGCUUCCAUGUCCUUUUCAACUCUAAAUCUAUAAUUCUUUCCAAACCUUUUUUUCAAAGUAGGCCACUUCUCUCAUGAAAUAUUCUCUGAAUAACUAAAUUUCACUAACUAAACUAUUGCUGUCAACCUCAAAAGGUGACAUGGGCACUGUACCCCAGAAACCCAGGCAAACUAUUAUCAGGGUAACUUGCUUGUUUUUUUUCCUGACUCUGAGAUUUAAAACACCCAAUGACCCCUUUAGGAUCCUGAGAUGACUAUCUUCCUUUGAUCGUCCUCUAGAUGGACAGAAAGAUGCACCUUCAAGCCACACCUUGAUCCUAUCAGACAUCUGUUUGUCCCCUAAAACUAAGGAAUCUUUAUGUCCCCGGGAAGACCCAAGUAUGAUCACCCCACCUCAUGCCUAAGUGACUAACUGUUGUGAAAAAAGUAUAAAAUCCCCAGAACUGGCGUCAUCUGGGGAAAGAGCCUUUCCUUCUAUGCUGUCCUCCCAAGGAACUGCUCCCCAUUUUGCUGUUUUACAUUGCUAUCUUCCUGGCCACUCUCAACAUUAAUUUCCAAAUUAAUAAAUCUCUUUUUGUUUGUCAGCUAAGUUUUGGAGUCACUGCAUGCUUGCCAAAGGCAUCCUUCCUGAAAAAGGGUAUCCUUCCUGCCCAUAACAUUUUUGGCUCCAACAUGGUUUUUUGGCUCUCCUGAAAGCUACGCUUGUACCCUAGAUCAUCCACGAGUACACAGCUUCUCAGGUAGGAAGGAGCUUUUCUUUGACUCCUGAAACCCCAUCUUUUGGGUGAUAUCUCUGUGGGAACUCCUUCGUGCUCUCUCUCCCAUCGGCCCCAGGUCAACCUGGCCCCUGGAGUUUCGGGUCUAUCUGUCGGCUUCCCAGUAUACUAGAAGACGUUUUAGUUGUGUGGGAACGUCUUCCUGCCUCAGUGUUCAGCUGAGUGCUUGCCUAAGUGCUAGAACUGAGUGCUUGGUUGGGCAACCUGUGGACGCACAGUUGCUGACCCUCAGUGUGGAAUUGUCCACUUUUGCAUCUAAAUGGGGCAGAGCUUACCACGAGAUUCCCCUUUGGGAUGUAUACUUAAUAAUUGGAAAAAAUUGGCACUAAACAGCUUAAAUAAAAAGCAAUUAAUUUCUUUUUGUAAAGUUUUCUGCCUACGUUACAUCCUUGGUAAUCAAGAAUCAUGGCCUAUCCAUGGUACCCUACAUUAUGAUACCAUCAGACAAUUGGAUUUAUUCUGCAGAAGGUAGGGAAAUGGACAGCCAUUCCCUACAUUUCCGCUUUCAUUAAACUCAGCCAGAAUCCUGAGCUAAGACGAUUAUGUCGCAUGUGCCUUGCCACCUCCUUACUGAGCCCUUCUGGGGAAAGUCCCCAACAGGAUGUUCUGGAUGACCUAGCUCUCCCAAGCAAUUUAGCUUCUGUGAGGGGUGGGGAGAUAACAUCUCCUACACUGACUGCGGAGCAGUCAAGACCUUCCCCUCCCCCAAACUAACCUCUACUACAGAAUUCCCUCCAGAUCCUCCUGGUUCCUCUCCCCAACCCUGGGCUCCAAACCCUCUGCCUUACUCUCGGGGUUCAGAGCCAGAGACCACUCCUCUCUCUACUCCCAACUUAUCCGUUUGUACCCGCCACUGCCUGAGGAUAAUGUUACCUCACCCAUUCCUCAACCAAGCCCACUCCACACCAGGAGCGGACUGAGCUAUGGCGACUGGGCCCACCUCCUCCCUAUGAGAGAGGUCCCCUCGUCAGAUGGGCUGGCUCAGGUACAUGUUCCCUUUUCUAUGACUGAUCUAGCCCAGAUGAAGGAGAAAUUGGGUCGCUACUCAGAACCAUACCAAAUUCAUUGAGGGUUUUAAAUCCCUGACCCUGCAGUUUGACCUGUCCUGGGCAGAUCUGCAUAUUAUCUCCACCUGUUGCAGCCCAGAUGAGAAAAAAAGGAUCUGGGACUUGGCUGUAGAAAUAGGUGAUGAGAAGGCCCUAGCCGGCACAUGGGCAGGAGUUCCUGGUGUCGCCACAGUCCCAGGGCAAGAUCCUGGGUGGGACUAUAUGAAUGAAAGGGACAGACUUAGGAGAGACCAUAUGAUAGACUGUCUCCUUGAGGCCAUGCAGAAAGGGAUUAAAAAGCGAGUGAAUUGCACUAAGUUCAAAGAAAUCACUCAGGGAAAGGAGGAGAAUCCAGCCCUCUUCCUGUCCGAUUAGGGGAAACCAGGAAGCAAUAUACCAACAUCCACCCAGACACUGAUGAGGGGGCGCUUAAUUUAAGGCUCCACUUUAUAGGGCAGUCUGCCCCUGACAUCAGGGGAAAGCUGCAAAAGCUGGAUCUGGGACCUCAGACUCCAAAGAAUUUUAGAAACCAGAAUUAUAGAAAUAGGAAUUGGGAAAAUAAUGACAUUGCUAAAAAUGAAGAAAAUGAUAAUACUCCACAAAAAUAUAUGAGAAAUGGAGCUUGUCCAAAACAUACUCGAGGUGCUAAUGACCCUCAGAGAGGUGCCCUUCAGGAGGGUGCCCAAGGAACUUCCUAAUAUAAUGAAGAUGAUUCUUCUUAGAUUGUAUUGAUUUUGUUGAUAUUAAUUAACCUUUUUCAGUUUUUUUUUCUCCUCUCCAAAUAGUAGGAAAGAAUGAACAAAGAACUUAAAACUAUGAUUGGCAAAUUAUGCACUGAGACCCAUUUAAAAUGGCCUGAAAUUCUCCCUCUGGCCCUAUUUUAUCUUAGUAGCAGGCCUAGAGGAGACUUACAUAUUUCACCAUUUGAGAUGCUUUUUGGACAUCCGCCUAUACAGGCUAAGCCUUUCUCCCCGGCUUAUACAUCGCUAUUAGGGGGAGAUAUUACUAUUGCUUCCUAUAUACAGGAGUUACAGCACAAACUACGUGAACUUCAUGAAUCCAGAGCUGCAGUACAAGCUGGACCAUUAGACUUUUCUCUGCAUGACCUGAACCCAGGAGAUAAAGUUUAUAUCAAGAAUUUCAAGCAAACUGGAGCAACUCAACCUUCAUGGGAAGGACCAUUCCAAAUAUUAUUAACUACUCCAACAUCUAUAAAGAUUGGAGAAAGGGACUCUUGGAUUCACUGCUCACAUGUGAAGAAAGCAUCUUCUGCUGAGACUGAUUGACUGCAUCCUAUCAUAUGAAUUGUGACUCUAUCUUAUCAUAUGAAUUGGAGAUAAUAAUCCAUAGACAAAUGGAUGCUGUUUUUUUUUCAAGAAUAUAUUGAAUUGCUGAUUUUUUCUCUUAUUUUUAUUAUUUCUUUUCUUUUAUUUUUUGAUCAGAAUAUUUGAUUUUUUUUCUCAUUUUUUUGUACUGAAGGUACACAUAAUUAAUAGUAAUAUUAUUUUUCCCUGCAGUAAUAUAAGUUAAUAUAUAUACUCUUGCUAUAAUAUCAAUAUAUGCCUAAAAGCUUUAAACUAUAGGAACCUGCCAUUUAUUGACAAAAUAUUAUAGGACUGUGAUUAAUGUUUGUGUCUGAUUCCAGGAAAAGGGAUAAAAACAAUGAGCACAGACUAAACCUGAAUAGUGCCAAUAGAGCACACAAGAAAUAUUAAAGUGAGACUCGAGGUUGCGAAGCUUAACUUAUGUUUAAGUCGUAGGACUUCCUUGUAUCUACACUCUUUAUGAAGUACUCAAACAAGUACAAAGCUUGAGUAUCAUGCUGGCUCCCUAUAUCCCUGAAUGGAAAAAAUCAGACAAGGGAAUGACAUUUCCCCAUCAAAAUAGAAUUCUAAUUCUUUUCUUCUUAUAUUAUGGCAACUUCCUGUAGUCUUUAUUACAAAUGGCUAAGUGAAAUAUUACUGCAUUCUGUCCUACAUACUUGUGGGAUAAAAAUUACUUUAAAAUGGACCUAUACAAGACCUAUUUUGAAUUUUUCUUAUGUUUUUGAUUAUUUUUCUAUUCUUUUGAUAAUUGACACAUACACCCCCAAAACUGAACAUUGCAUUCUGAGCUAAACUUGAUAUUUUUUUAAAUACUUACUUCAGGGGGAUUGUAUUUUAAUUUAAAAUCUAAGAAUUUUUUUUUUGAAUUUUUUUUGUUUGUUUGAGAUUGUAUUUUUAUAAAAACCCAAGAAUUUUGAAUUUUGUUUAAGAUUUUACUGUUAUAAAAAUCAAAGAUUUUGAUUCUGUUAGAGAAAAGAUCUUCAAGAAAAAAGCUUGAAAUUUUUAUAUCCAGAGAAUGAACUGUUGCAGAAAGAUGCAGAAAACCUACACUUCAUCAAGAAGAUCAAGAAUGAACUUUGGAUGUGAUUGAUUGGACUGAAAUUUUGAUUGAACAUUUAUUGUAAUUGUACACAUUUAUGCCAAAUGGGACUGCCCCUAAUUUGGCUUUCUGUCAAUGCGCCUAGCAAACAUUGGUUUUGCUUUCUUUUCUUUUCUAUUUCCUCUCUCACUAUUCUAAUUUGUCUUAGAAAAUUGAAUAUUGUGUAUAUCUUUAGUUAGAAGUGAAUUUAGAACUACAAAAUGAUUAUGUUAAAUGAUCAAUGGGGAGACUAGUCUCAAAAUGAUCAUCAGGGGGGAUUGUAAACCUUAAAAUUUCUUAAACUUAUAAUUGUUGGAAAUUUCACUAUUGGGAAAUUUCAUACUUGAAAAAUUUCCUAUUGAUAGUGGAACUCUAUUGGAAUGUGAACCCCAUUGGCAUGGGAGGUUCCUCCUCCUCCCUUCUUAAGAUUACUUUAGGACAGAAACCUUUUGCUGAACAAUGGAAAAGGCUGUGACCUAUGCUUAAGCAUAGAACAGGAAUUUCUUUGAGUCAUGAUUGAUUUUAGAAUUGAUACAAUGGAGAUACUUGGAAUGACAGAACCAGGUCUUGGAAAUUGCAAUCUCCACCCUACUCAGUCCUAACAGGAUUUAGGAAGGGCUGCAGCAUAGAUCAAAAUUUAAUUAUUCCAAUCUCUACCCUACUCAGGGUAACAGGAUUUAGGAAGGGCUGUAGCAAAAGAUCAAGAUUUAAUUAUUUGAGAAUAUGACCUUCAACAGACAUGUGCAAAGCCACAGACCUCUAGAGCCCCCAUUGGCACAGGGAAAAUGAUGGACAGUGAUUGGUAGAUGUGAGAACUGAGGAGAGGGAACUUGGAUGGUUUCCUUAAAGAUAGAGGGGUCUGAGGAUGAAGGGGAGUGGUUGGAGAGGUGCUCUGAGAAGCUUGCUCUGAAGGAAGCUGGAGUUGGAGGCCUCUGAGACUAUUUCUCCACUUUGGUCACGUGAGUAAUAGGGACUGAUCUCCUUUCUUUGCCCCAGCUAUCUAAGGGCUUGGGCCUUUUGGCCCAGCCUAAAGAGAAGGGGUAUUUAAGCCCUAUUCCCUUCUCUCCCCUUUCUCUCUCCCUCUCUCUCUCUAUCUCUAAUUCCUUUCUUCCUCCUGUUUGUAAUUAAACUCUAUAAAAGGUUGACGGCUGACUUGAGUCAUUUAGGAAUUACAUAGCUGAAUUCCUUGGCGACCUUAAAUUAAUAUAUAUCAGUCUUUUAAAGUGAUUUCCUUGUCACACACUCCACAUCCUAGAGUAGCACCUCUUCUCCUGGAAUGACCCCAUUCUCUGGGGCCCCAACAACAUUUUUUACCCACACUGGCUCAGAGCAGAACAAAGGAUAGAUAGCAGAACAAGGGAGAUAGGAGAACAAAGGAAAUUAGUUAUUUACAUCAUCCUCAAUUGACAAGGAGACCCAGUGGACAUCUGCCUCUUCCCCCUCAGGGUCCACACUCACAAGCAGACAUCCCUCCCUAAUCUCUGCUUCAGGCUUUGAUGCUUUCAUUUCAACCCUAUUCAUGAGUAU